CUAGCAAUAGAGAGUGGCGCACGGGUGAGUAACAUGUGGGAAUAUGCCUCUUGGUACGGAACAACUUUUGGAAACGAAAGCUAAUACCGUAUGGUCCCUUCGGGGUAAAGAUUUAUCGCCAAGAGAGUAGCCCGCACUAGAUUAGCUAGUUGGUAAGGUAAUGGCUUACCAAGGCGACGAUCUAUAGCUGGUCUGAGAGGACGAUCAGCCACACUGGGACUGAGACACGGCCCAGACUCCUACGGGAGGCAGCAGUGGGGAAUAUUGGACAAUGGGCGAAAGUCUGAUGGAGCAACGCCGCGUGAGCGAAGAAGGUUUUCGGA
RNAcentral lists this ribosomal RNA (323 nucleotides) under uncultured bacterium. Its description in RNAcentral is "bacterial SSU rRNA". It matches the Rfam family "Bacterial small subunit ribosomal RNA", at positions 82 to 422 of the family's 1533-position model. The record is from RNAcentral.